CCUGCCUCGGCCUUCCAAAGUGCUGGGAUUAUAGGUGUGAGCCACUGUGCCUGUCUGACAGUUUUUUUUAAAUUUGAGCACUUUGAAACAUUCUCUCCUGGCCUGCAAGGUUUCUGCUGAGAAGUCUGCUGAUAGUCUAAUGAGAUGUUUUUCUCUCAUAGCUUUCAGAAUUUCCUCUUUGUGACUUUUUUUUUUUUUUUUUUUUUGAGUUUGGAAGCAGAGGUUUAAUAGGCAGAAGAAACAGAAAGGAGAACAGCUUUCUCUCUACUGAGAGAGAGGAGCUUCCAAGAAGAAAAGGCUGGCCAGUGGCAGAAUUCGCUGGAUUUCAUAGUUCAUCUCAACCUUCCUUUACUGCAUAUAAUUUGUGCUUGUUUGAUUUUUCCUUUGGACCGGUAAAAACAUCUGUCUGGUUCCCUCAUCAUGUGAGUCAAAUAAAAUCUUUAACAUGUGUUCAUUUUUAUAUCAGUGUAAGAGUAUAGUUUUACCUUUUCCUGAACAUUAUCUUUUAGCAAAAAUCCUUCCAAAUCCUAAUUGUUUGUGGAAAGAUUCAGCCACUUGUUUUUCCUGUCUUUCCAAGAUUUGGUUACCCAGAUCAAUUUUCUAGAGACUUUUAAACUAGAACUUUUAAACAUCAAUCAUUUAAAACAAAACACAGCUGAAAUUCUUUCUAAUGCCAUUUUCUGAAUUGUUGGGUUAAUUAAUUGGAAAUCACAGGACUGUGUAUCUAAGAUACCUUCCUGUUUUACCAAUUCUGCAUCAAGGAUCUGAUAGAAGUUCAGGGCUGGCAGUGAGACAGUAAAAGCCAGGGAAGAGAAAGUGGAGAAGGUGCUUUUAAAGGCUCAGUGCUAGCGUUUCACAGAAGGAAGGGCUCAUGAUCAUGCUUAAUGGAAGACUCAGACCUGGAACUCACUUCUUCAGGGACUUCCCAGUCCCAUCCUGCUUCUCAGAAAAGGAGGAGAGAUGAAAACUUUUACUUUUAUGACACAAUUGUCCUCAUCCACAGCUGAGAUCCGCAAACUCUACAGUGCAAUGCCUGUAUUUCUGAGGGUCUCGGGGAAGAUGGAGGGCCUGUACGUGGCUGAGAGAUGAAAGCACGAGUUCCCCUCCACCUGCCCUCCAUGUCCCUCAUCCUGAGCUGCAGGUGGAAGGGGUGGAAACACAGCUGCUGAGAAGGGCUAUAUUGUCUCUUUAUCCCUAGCUGUUUUUCUCGUGAGCUGGAGGGCCCAUGAUUUCGAAUGACCCUGGAUGAGUCACAUAAAUUCCCAGUCUCAUCUGUAAGAUGUGAGGGGUGCAGAUGAUCUUUAAGGCUUCUUUCUACUCUGACAUGGCAAGAAUCCAAGGUUAAGCCUUUUGGUCUGUGGAAGCGUGAAGUAAACUGCUAGUUAUUGUGGCUUUCCUUUGAGUUGAAUUGGUUCAGUGUCAUUUACAAAGGAAAAGAAGGCACUUCUCCGUUUGAUGUAUUUGUGUAUGUGAGUUCCUUGGAUCCAAAGUAGAGUUUGCCUGGGACAUUCCUUGGGAUUCCUUCCCCCUUUGGAUGGAUUGCCAAUUCCACAUCAUUUGAUUACAUUUCUGCCUCCAGAAAAGCCUUCAUCAUGGAAUGUUAGGCACUGAUGAAUAAAUUUUGGUCAAACCAAGAACAUAUUCAGACUUAAGAAUUUCGUUAAAAUGUGUUGAAACUUAUUUCUUCCCCAGUGCUCUUAAAGGUCAUAAGAUCAUUAUGAUGAUUAAUCAUGGACCUUUAGAAGUACCAGUAGGAGAAGUUAACUUGACAUUCAAUUUCUGUUUGGUUUUGUCCCAAAACAGAAUCCAAGCAAAAUAAAAUAAUUAAACAAAUUUCCUAUAUAUAAAAUUUUCGUCCCUCAACCAAUAGACAUAAUGACAGUUAAGACUUAGUAAUUCCAUGCCUUUGAGUACAGCUUUUUACUUCCAAAGCGUUUUGCAUCUAUUACCUUAUUGAGUUUUAAAACAACGAUGGCAGCUGUUUUCAGUUUUAGAUGAAGCUCUAAGAGGUUAACUGACUUAGUCAGGGCCCCACAUCUCUUAAUGAAAAAGUCAGAGCUAAAACUCACUCUCCUGACCCUUCAUCUUUUCCUCUUAUAUGGCACCAUCUUACUUCCAUUAGUUAGGAAUGAAGUUUCUCUUUAAUCAUGAAACUCUUUCCCUUCUGAAGGACAGUAAAGGUAUAUAAUUUCUAAAAAACAAACAACAAACAAGAUAUAGAUGAUUUGUAAUUUAUUAGUUGGAUCAACUUCCAUUUUAGAAAAGACAGAAACAAAAAAUAUAGUUAAUAUUUACAUUUUUUACAAUGAAAAGUAUUUACAUCAUAGAGAAGAAGUACAAAAUGGCAUAUAAAACUCUAGGACAACACAAACAGCAAGGACUACAAUUUCAGCAAAAAAUUAUCUGUCCUUUUUUUUCCUUGUAAGUUGAAGUGUGUCAGGCUGUUGUCUAACCAUUUUGCUAAUUUAGCCAGUUCCUGCUUCAUCUUUUUCAUUUGAUGGCUUUUUCAAAAGAGCCUUUAUUUAGUGAAAUUGGUAAUUGAUAUUCCUACAUCACUCUUUUGGGUUCACCUUUGAUCUUUAGGAUACCUAUUACAUUACUGUGGUUUAAGUCAUUGGCCCCUGUGGUUCCCAGUGGGUAGGACCUCUUACUUAAAAGAGCAGUUGUGUUCAUUUGCUAAAAUCCUCCACAUCUGGGCAGUAGCAAAGCUACAUUUCAAAGAACAGGCUGAUUUGUUCGGCUAAGUCUUUCCAUACAGAAUAUUUGCAUUGCAUUGUAAGUCUAGCCCUGUAUUUAUAGGACCAAGAACCAGAAAGGCUGUCAUUGCACCAGUGACAGAACUGGAACCAGAAACUAGGUCAUCUGUCUCCCCAUGCAGGGACCUCACCCUGGUGUCACACUGCCCAGGAUGGAUGUGUUCAGGUCAGGGAGAAAGGUCUCUUCUGAACUGAGACCACAUUGCCUGUCUCUGUGUGUGCUGCCUCACUGGUGAGCAGGGCCUGGGUCAAAAAAUAUUUCUAGAAUUCCAGAUUGAAGUCUACCUGGAGGUGGAGAAGUGGGAAGCAAGAAGUUUCAAACAGAUGUGGCUAUGGGCUAGCUGGACAGUCUGUCCCCACUGCCAAAACACUUGAGGAGCCGUUUGUGAAGCUGUCUGCUCAGUAGCUUCUUAGCAAACCCUGGCCACUUGGGCUGUUUUUCUUGCUAUUCAUUCUCAGCCUGGAAGUUAGCAAAAUGGAGAGAAGAUGCCACUGUCAAGGGAAAUAUCUACCUUUGGCUUGGUAUAUUCAGGCAUUGGCAAACCGAAUCACAGGCAAUUAAAAAUGAAAGUCAGAAGUGGAAAGGACAGAGUAGUUCAGCAGAGAAACAAGUUUUGUUGAAAUAGCACCUGUUAAUUGGAAGAAAACCGUAUCGGUAGCAUUUAAGAGGACCAAAUUUUAAGGUCAAUAUCUGUCCAUCAGAGAGCUUACAGCUUAAUUUAAGCAAAGCACUUUCCUAUGUCUACAUACACAAAUAACUAAAAUACUUUCAAAAUAUCCAAGGAGAUUAAAAAAAUAGAGUGUACCAGAAAAAAAAAUCCAACAUUAAGAAUGAGAACAGAAUCAUGGUGAUAAUGAUCACAAUAAAAGUAGAGACAGAACUUGAAACACCAAAGUGUGUCAAAAAAUAUUUACAUAUAGGAAGUUAGAAACAGCACAACAUAUAUAAAGUGGGUGCGAAGAUUUAAACAUUUCUGAAUUAUCUGAAGACUAUGAGAAGGAAGAGAAACUCUGUUCUAUAAUUAAGCUAAUUACAGAGAUAAACUAUUGUACAUUUAAAUAUUGUACACCAAAUAACAAGAAAAAAAAUUUAAACAAAAGAGCUAAAGUAUCAAAUGUAUAAAAUCCAAUUGCUUUAAUAAACAGGCAAGAUCAUCCUGGGCUGCUGUGGAAGUUUGCAAUGUUCAGUUGGGCAGAAAGGAAGUAUUAAGAAGAAGGGAACCAGGUACCUUCCCUUAGUAUUCUUUUCCCAGCAAAAUGCUAUUUUUACUAAAUUGCUGAAAUAUGAUAUGAGAUUCUGUACUCUUUGUUAUAAAGAAAGCUCCCAAAAUUAUAGACUAAUUAAAAUUCCUUGGAGCCCCCUUUUUGGAUUAUCAACCAAAGAGGCCACGGGAUGAUUUUGUGCUUGGUGGAGUCUGGCGUAACAGACUGAAGUAGUUCUGGAUUGUUGGAGAAAAACUGUGGUUGAAGGCACAGGUAUUCUGCACAGGAGGGGUCCCUUUGGUCAGUACCAAGAGGCUGCAUGUGAGGCCAGGGCCAUGGGAGGCCCACAGAGACCACCAUGGUCUGGGAUUACCACCACCCAGUGGAGUGCCACUCUGGGGUCACCAGGUUCCGCAGAGGGCUUCUCCCUCCUAUGGUCAGCAGCAUGGUGUGGACAGGCUGAGGGCUAUGGGCACUGACGUUCAACACCGCGCGUAUUUGAAGAAGCCUAUGUGAGUACCUCAGGACCUGGAAGGACACCCACACAAGGGGCUAUUUCAGAAAACAGCUGGAGAAACCAGACUUCCUUGAGGGCUCCUCUCCAAGUGGGGAAGGACUUCUUCGGUUGAUA
Molecule: long non-coding RNA, 4590 nt
Organism: Papio anubis (olive baboon)
Lineage: Eukaryota; Metazoa; Chordata; Mammalia; Primates; Cercopithecidae
Source: Ensembl